Molecule: ribosomal RNA, 254 nt
Filed under: uncultured bacterium
Lineage: Bacteria
Description: partial 16S ribosomal RNA
Rfam family: Bacterial small subunit ribosomal RNA
Source: RNAcentral
CACGUAGGGUGCGAGCGUUGUCCGGAAUUAUUGGGCGUAAAGAGCUCGUAGGCGGUGUGUCGCGUCGGCCGUGAAAACCUGCAGCUUAACUGUGGGCGUGCGGUCGAUACGGGCAUCACUGGAGUUCGGCAGGGGAGACUGGAAUUCCUGGUGUAACGGUGAAAUGCGCAGAUAUCAGGAGGAACACCGGUGGCGAAGGCGGGUCUCUGGGCCGAUACUGACGCUGAGGUGCGAAAGCGUGGGGAGCAAACAGG